GCUUGAGUGGCAGAGUUCGGUAAUAGCAAAAGAUCUAAAAUCUUUCUACCAGGGGUUCAAAUCCUCUCUUAAGCU
RNAcentral lists this transfer RNA (75 nucleotides) under Ambystoma dumerilii (Lake Patzcuaro salamander). RNAcentral describes it as "tRNA-Leu". It matches the Rfam family "tRNA". From Rfam's summary of the family: Transfer RNA (tRNA) molecules are approximately 80 nucleotides in length. Their secondary structure includes four short double-helical elements and three loops (D, anti-codon, and T loops). Further hydrogen bonds mediate the characteristic L-shaped molecular structure. tRNAs have two regions of fundamental functional importance: the anti-codon, which is responsible for specific mRNA codon recognition, and the 3' end, to which the tRNAs corresponding amino acid is attached (by aminoacyl-tRNA synthetases). tRNAs cope with the degeneracy of the genetic code in two manners: having more than one tRNA (with a specific anti-codon) for a particular amino acid; and 'wobble' base-pairing, i.e. permitting non-standard base-pairing at the 3rd anti-codon position. Lineage: Eukaryota; Metazoa; Chordata; Amphibia; Caudata; Ambystomatidae. The record is from RNAcentral.